GGAAGGUUGGCCAUGGUGACUUUGUCUCCAUGAAGGCCAGGCAGAGUACACACCCAAUUUUCAGUGCUUUAGAAACCCUCAGGGGAUAAAGAACAGCUACAUACACAUACAACUCCAUAUAGUUUCAUAUAACAGAAGGUGAGAGGAAUGCACAGAAAGGAUUUAUUCCACUCCCCUUCGGCCUAACAGCCUCAAAGGGUGGGAAGAGACCUGAAAAGGUCACGUACUCCAUUACAUCUUCCCAAGGCAAGAGGCAAAGUCACUGUAAAACAAGAAAAUGGUCAGCUUGCCAUCACCACGCCAUCCAGGCAUCUUCCCUAUGUGUGCGCCUGUCCAUGUUAAAUGGAUGGCAGCCACUGGACUCCUGCUUCUCUCUCUGGAUAACACACAACCGCCACAGUGGCCUCAAAUCUUCUCCUUAACCCACAGCAAAAGUUUUUCUCUGCUCAGGCUCAUCUCUCUUGUUGAACUGUAUCUGCUCUCGCACUGUCGUGUUUAUGUUCUUCAAAGAACUGAAAGCCGUUAUCCUA
This is a long non-coding RNA of Gallus gallus (chicken), 530 nucleotides long. RefSeq lists it as uncharacterized. The record is from RefSeq and is a predicted model, not a curated record. NCBI's taxonomy places the organism in Eukaryota, Metazoa, Chordata, Aves, Galliformes, Phasianidae. The transcript has 2 exons.